This 90-nucleotide small RNA is filed under the name unclassified sequences. Its description in RNAcentral is "NAD+-I sequence". It matches the Rfam family "nadA riboswitch". The record is from Rfam by way of RNAcentral.
GGCUGCAACAACCCCGUGGAUGGGGGCUUAUCUGAAGCGUUCGGCAUUCAUGCUGUUCGCCUCAGGGUGGUUAGUGCAUCCACUGCAGUC